Molecule: ribosomal RNA, 468 nt
Filed under: uncultured bacterium
Lineage: Bacteria
Description: partial 16S ribosomal RNA
Rfam family: Bacterial small subunit ribosomal RNA
Source: RNAcentral
GACGAACGCUGGCGGCGUGCUUAACACAUGCAAGUCGAACGGAAAGGCCCUGCUUUUGUGGGGUGCUCGAGUGGCGAACGGGUGAGUAACACGUGAGUAACCUGCCCUUGACUUUGGGAUAACUUCAGGAAACUGGGGCUAAUACCGUAUAGGAGCUCCUGCUGCAUGGUGGGGGUUGGAAAGUUUCGGCGGUUGGGGAUGGACUCGCGGCUUAUCAGCUUGUUGGUUGGGUAGUUGCUUACCAAGGCUUUGACGGGUAGCCGGCAUGAGAGGGUGACCGGCCACAUUGGGACUGAGAUACGGUCCAGACUCCUACGGGAGGCAGCAGUGGGGAAUAUUGCACAAUGGGCGGAAGCCUGAUGCAGCAACGCCGCGUGCGGGAUGACGGCCUUCGGGUUGUAAACCGCUUUCGCCUGUGACGAGGCGUGAGUGACGGUAAUGGGUAAAGAAGCACCGGCUAACUACGUG